AGAGACAGCAGUAGCCCGGGAACACAGAGGGUGCGAGCGUUAAUCGGAUUUACUGGGCGUAAAGCGUGCGUAGGCGGCUUUUUAAGUCGGAUGUGAAAUCCCUGAGCUUAACUUAUGAAUUGCAUUCGAUACUGGGAAGCUAGAGUAUGGGAGAGGAUGGUAGAAUUCCAGGUGUAGCGGUGAAAUGCGUAGAGAUCUGGAGGAAUACCGAUGGCGAAGGCAGCCAUCUGGCCUAAUACUGACGCUGAGGUACGAAAGCAUGGGGAGCAAACAGGAUUAGAUACCCCGGUAGUCCCUGUCUCUUAUACA
RNAcentral lists this ribosomal RNA (309 nucleotides) under uncultured bacterium. Its description in RNAcentral is "partial 16S ribosomal RNA". It matches the Rfam family "Bacterial small subunit ribosomal RNA", at positions 504 to 808 of the family's 1533-position model. The record is from RNAcentral.